AGAUAUAUAUAAACACUAGAUGGCUCAUGGGAGAUUUUCCAGCGUAGCUCACCGGCCGCCAUCUUGCUACAGUCAACAGCUACUCUGGUACGCGCUAUGGUAGCUGUUGUAAGAAGUACCUGACUAUGCCUGACUUUUGUGCUGCCUACGGCUGCUCUAAUCGCCGCAGUCUGCAAACAAGAACCCGUGGAAUCACGUGUUUCCCAAAACCGGAGAGAGGAGGAGGCAGUGGGAACUCGCCCUAAGAAGGGACGGUUUUGUUUCCUCUGGCAGGACGCUGCUCUGCAGUGAGUACUUCAGGAGUGAGGACUUUGACAGGACGGGGCAGACUAUCCGGCUUAAAGAUGGUGUUGUGCCAACAGUAUUCAAUUUCCCAGCUCAUCUUCAAAGGGUAUGUGUAUCAUUGGCCAACAAGAAUUCAAGGUGUAUAAGAUUGAUUGAUAAAUAUGUGAUUAAAUGUCACACUUUAGUUUUUCUUUCUGCAAGUUUAGGAAUAAAUAAUGUGUUGUGUAUUACAGCACAUUUUAAACACUCAAAAUGUCUUUAAUUAUGUUU
Molecule: long non-coding RNA, 555 nt
Organism: Gymnodraco acuticeps
Lineage: Eukaryota; Metazoa; Chordata; Actinopteri; Perciformes; Bathydraconidae
Exons: 3
Source: RefSeq, a predicted model, not a curated record